This 497-nucleotide ribosomal RNA is filed under the name uncultured bacterium. RNAcentral's name for it is "partial 16S ribosomal RNA". It matches the Rfam family "Bacterial small subunit ribosomal RNA", at positions 28 to 507 of the family's 1533-position model. The record is from RNAcentral.
GAUGAACGCUGGCGGCGUGCCUAAUACAUGCCAGUCGAGCGAACAGACGAGGAGCUUGCUCCUCUGACGUUAGCGGCGGACGGGUGAGUAACACGUGGAUAACCUACCUAUAAGACUGGGAUAACUUCGGGAAACCGGAGCUAAUACCGGAUAAUAUAUUGAACCGCAUGGUUCAAUAGUGAAAGACGGUUUUGCUGUCACUUAUAGAUGGAUCCGCGCCGCAUUAGCUAGUUGGUAAGGUAACGGCUUACCAAGGCAACGAUGCGUAGCCGACCUGAGAGGGGGAUCGCCCACAUGGGAACGGAGCCACGGUCCAGACUCCUCGGGGAGGCAGCAGUGGGGAAUCUCCCGAAAGGGGCGAAAGCCUGACGGAGCAACGCCGCGUGAGUGAUGAAGGUCUUGGGAUCGAAAACCUCUUUUAUGGGGGAAAAAAAAAUUUGUAAGUAACUAUGCACUUCUUGACGGUACCUAAUCAGAAAGCCACGGCUAACUACGUG